UACGGAGGGUGCAAGCGUUAAUCGGAAUUACUGGGCGUAAAGCGUGCGCAGGCGGUUUUGUAAGUCUGUCGUGAAAUCCCCGGGCUCAACCUGGGAAUUGCGUUGGAGACUGCAAGGCUAGAAUCUGGCAGAGGGGGGUAGAAUUCCACGUGUAGCAGUGAAAUGCGUAGAGAUGUGGAGGAACACCGAUGGCGAAGGCAGCCCCCUGGGUCAAGAUUGACGCUCAUGCACGAAAGCGUGGGGAGCAAACAGG
Molecule: ribosomal RNA, 253 nt
Filed under: uncultured bacterium
Lineage: Bacteria
Description: partial 16S ribosomal RNA
Rfam family: Bacterial small subunit ribosomal RNA
Source: RNAcentral